Protopterus annectens (West African lungfish) is the source of this 402-nucleotide long non-coding RNA. RefSeq lists it as uncharacterized. The transcript is spliced from 3 exons. The record is from RefSeq and is a predicted model, not a curated record. Lineage: Eukaryota; Metazoa; Chordata; Ceratodontiformes; Protopteridae.
UUCAAGAAAAAUGCAGGUCACUGCAGCUCAGCUCAGCUUUGUGAUGUCUGGCUUGUACUCAAAGAUUGAUGAACUCUUCAACAGAAUAGAGCCAUGCACAGGGAAUGGCUUAACAUGAAAUCAAGACAACAGUGGGUGUGGAGCUUACCCAAGGAACACCAUGGGGAACUACCUAUUACUGGAAACCAUCUCUUGAACUAGAACUGAAGCUUGAAAUGUUUUUUGCUGAACACCUGCAGAAUCCUUCCCAGUCACUCUUUUCUCUUCAUCCCAACUGGUUGAUUUUCUUUCAGGUUUUCCAAAUGUAUCCUUUGCUUGCAUCCAGACAGUGUAUUUACUAGCCAGUAACUGAAUUUUACCAUAAAAAAAACAAAAUUUAAUGCCACUCCUUUUCUCAGUUUC